Molecule: ribosomal RNA, 625 nt
Filed under: Microbacterium aurantiacum
Lineage: Bacteria; Bacillati; Actinomycetota; Actinomycetes; Micrococcales; Microbacteriaceae
Description: partial 16S ribosomal RNA
Rfam family: Bacterial small subunit ribosomal RNA
Source: RNAcentral
GGUCUGGGAUGGGCUCGCGGCCUAUCAGCUUGUUGGUGAGGUAAUGGCUCACCAAGGCGUCGACGGGUAGCCGGCCUGAGAGGGUGACCGGCCACACUGGGACUGAGACACGGCCCAGACUCCUACGGGAGGCAGCAGUGGGGAAUAUUGCACAAUGGGCGAAAGCCUGAUGCAGCAACGCCGCGUGAGGGAUGACGGCCUUCGGGUUGUAAACCUCUUUUAGCAGGGAAGAAGCGAAAGUGACGGUACCUGCAGAAAAAGCGCCGGCUAACUACGUGCCAGCAGCCGCGGUAAUACGUAGGGCGCAAGCGUUAUCCGGAAUUAUUGGGCGUAAAGAGCUCGUAGGCGGUUUGUCGCGUCUGCUGUGAAAUCCCGAGGCUCAACCUCGGGCCUGCAGUGGGUACGGGCAGACUAGAGUGCGGUAGGGGAGAUUGGAAUUCCUGGUGUAGCGGUGGAAUGCGCAGAUAUCAGGAGGAACACCGAUGGCGAAGGCAGAUCUCUGGGCCGUAACUGACGCUGAGGAGCGAAAGGGUGGGGAGCAAACAGGCUUAGAUACCCUGGUAGUCCACCCCGUAAACGUUGGGAACUAGUUGUGGGGACCAUUCCACGGUUUCCGUGACGCAGC